Long non-coding RNA from Salvia splendens (bonfire salvia), 2552 nucleotides. RefSeq lists it as uncharacterized. The transcript is spliced from 7 exons. The record is from RefSeq and is a predicted model, not a curated record. NCBI's taxonomy places the organism in Eukaryota, Viridiplantae, Streptophyta, Magnoliopsida, Lamiales, Lamiaceae.
GGCCCCAUUUAUCUCACCCCUAAUCCAUCGCCCCUUCACUCCAUACCUGCUCCGUCACAAACACACUCCCACAUCCCCAAUUCGAAACCCUAGCUCAUUGUCCAUCUCUCCUCGGCACAGCCGAGACGCCACCGCUCGUUGCCGUCCUCGGCGUCCUAUUACCUUCUUCAUCGUCUCCUUCCCGGGUUCACGUGGCGCGAUUUCGUUCGCUUAGCAGCGGCGGAGUUCCCUUCGUUCCAGAGGAAAAUGUCUCUGCGGCCUCCGUCUCCGGCGAGGGACGAUCGGUGCCCAGAGAUUUCUCUCUCUCUCUCUCUCUGAUGCACCGCCGCUGUCGCCUCUGCACCCGACUCGGCCAGUAGCUGCCGCUGCGUGUUCGCGGUGGAGACGCUGGUCGCGCCGUUCGUUGCCGCGGUUCGGCAGAUUUCUCCCCGUCCCUUCCCCGCUGACUAGCUCCGUCGUUAAACGACCUUUCGCAAGCAAAGUUUCUCUUGCAUUUAACUAUUUGGUUACUCUCUAGUGAAUCAAAGUUGUAAGCUUAAUAGAAUAUCUUUGAUUAUUCGAGUCCGGUUGGGGCUUCUGUUAUAUCCUCGUUUCUCAGUUAUGGCCUAGCGUGCUCUCGUCAGGAGGCUAUCGAUUUUACUUGUUUUCCUAUAACAUUUUCAUGCUUAUGUUUUCCGAGACUAUGGGGCUUUACUAGCAUGCUUGUGAUGCCUGCUUAAUGUGAGAUUUCCUACUACAUGACGAUGUGACUUGGUUAACUGAGUUUGAUGGGGAUUGAAAUUACCUUCUCUGAACUUCUUGUUAUUUCUUACUUCUGGCUUGCUCUUCCUCACUUCCUCCCGCUGCCUCGGCUCCUCUCUUUCUUUAACUGGAUGUUGCUUUGUGAUAAUGAGGGAGGAAGGGGCUGAGCCCUAUUUAUGUUUAUGGACUAACUGAAAGCCUGUAAAAGGCUGAUAUCUCUGGUUGGAAGGUAGUCCUUGAUGGACUGAUUUGGCUGUUACUUCUGCAGAAAAUUCGCAGGGUGUACUCGUGAGGCUGAUGAGCCUACGGCUCCUUGUUGUGAUCUGAUACUACCACUGAAAUUGGUGCUUUAUUUCCGUACUCCCCAUCUGCACAUCUAACAGCAUUUGGCUCUAUAUGGGGUGUAGUACUUGGUUUAUUUAUUGCUUCUGUUGGUUUAUGGAAGGUGCACACAGGAGGGAGCAUUUUAUGGCUGAUUCCUUGACCAUGGCAGGUCUGAAUGUAAGAGGUAUGAGCUGGUAACGACAGCCUCGUGGGGUGCAGCUGUUGGAGAGGGAUUUGUUGACUGAACUUGCCCCUCUCGGCCCAGCUCUGUCUCACCCUUCCGAAAGGACGACACUGUGGAUGCACAAAUUGCAUCUGCAAUAGAAGCGUGCAUGGCGCUAGGUGAUGAUGAUGACUACGUUCAAUCAGAAUUGAAAGAAUCUAGCCAAAAUCUUUUGACCGAAUUAAUAGUUUACGAUCCGGACCUUGCAAGUGCUGUGAUUGAACAAAUGGAGGUACGUUCAAAAGCCGAGAAGAGAAUAUCCGCUGCAUUGCGAUCUCCAUUCCAUGAAAGAGUGGUCCAGGCAAAAACAAAGUUUACCUUGAAAGAGUCACAAAUCUUUUUGUGGAUUAUGACAACAUGUGAAUUAAAUGAGGACACAAAAUAUUGUAUGAUGAUGAUGUCGUAAUGGUAACAAAAAGAGAAUUACGUUCACUGUUGCCACAUACGCUAAUCGAAGUGGGUGUGAUCAACGCGUGGGCUUCUUAUUUGAAUAACAUGGAAGAAUACAAGGCUCUAUCUUCAUCGAGGCGGCUCUUUUCACAACAUACCCAUCCGCAAGAAUAGUAUAAAUUUUGAAAAAUUAACUGCAUGCUGUAUACAGUUGUUCAUCGGCCUGAUGGGGUCGACAUCAUCACCAAAAUUGAUAGAUUCUGUGACAAUUUAGAAAAUGAGGUUAAACAAAUUCCGUAUUUCAAGUGGGCCGACGUAGAUUUGGUGAUCUUUCCAAUUUGUGUUGCGGAACAUUACUAUACCAUAUGCUUCAGAUUUAGCACUAAAAGUAUAGUGGUGAUUGACAAUUCAAAGAAUGGUGACGACGAGGACAUUACAGUCAAGUAUGGUAGCAUACCUGAAACUGUGAGAGUGUAUUUUUGUCAUUAUUUGACAAAAAUGGGUUUUCACAUGCAAUGCAAAUCAAUAACGGAUGUGAACAUAAAAAGGCUCAAAAUGACUUGGAGAACAACAUCAAAUGUAGAAGAUUGUGGAGUUUUUUUGAUGAGACAUAUGGAAUGUUAUCAUGGUGAGCGGGAACAAGAUUGGAAAUGUGGAUUAACUAAAAGAAGAACACUCCAAAGACUAAGAACAAAGUAUUGCAACGCAUUAAUGUUGUCGGAAACAAACCAUGAGUCAUUGAAGAACUUGGCAACAACAUCAAGGCAUUAUGAAGAAUAUGGGAAAAACAUGAACAUAGAUGUGAAAAAAAUGAUUGUAAACUUCAAGCGUUCAUGAACUAUUGUAGUAAACUUCAUUUAAAUUCACUAUUUAC